GAUGAACGCUGGCGGCGUGCCUAAUACAUGCAAGUCGAGCGAACAGACGAGGAGCUUGCUCCUCUGACGUUAGCGGCGGACGGGUGAGUAACACGUGGAUAACCUACCUAUAAGACUGGGAUAACUUCGGGAAACCGGAGCUAAUACCGGAUAACAUGUUGAACCGCAUGGUUCAACAGUGAAAGACGGUCUUGCUGUCACUUAUAGAUGGAUCCGCGCCGCAUUAGCUAGUUGGUAAGGUAACGACUUACCAAGGCAACGAUGCGUAGCCGACCUGAGAGGGUGAUCGGCCACACUGGAACUGAGACACGGUCCAGACUCCUACGGGAGGCAGCAAUAGGGAAUCUUCCGCAAUGGGCGAAAUCCUGACGGAGCAACGCCGCGUGAGUGAAGAAGGUCUUCGGAUCGUAAAACUCUGUUAUUAGGGAAGAACAAAUGUGUAAGUAACUAUGCACGUCUUGACGGUACCUAAUCAGAAAGCCACGGCUAACUACGUG
RNAcentral lists this ribosomal RNA (497 nucleotides) under uncultured bacterium. RNAcentral's name for it is "partial 16S ribosomal RNA". It matches the Rfam family "Bacterial small subunit ribosomal RNA", at positions 28 to 507 of the family's 1533-position model. The record is from RNAcentral.